GUGCACAUGAGGAGAUAUACUCGGAUUCCCCUUCAGGACAUCUUGGAUGAUGCAGAUUCGAGAUUCUGAUGCA
Arachis stenosperma is the source of this 73-nucleotide small nucleolar RNA. RefSeq annotates it as small nucleolar RNA snoR60. NCBI's taxonomy places the organism in Eukaryota, Viridiplantae, Streptophyta, Magnoliopsida, Fabales, Fabaceae. The transcript has a single exon. The record is from RefSeq and is a predicted model, not a curated record.